Non-coding RNA from Phoenix dactylifera (date palm), 7828 nucleotides. The record is from RefSeq and is a predicted model, not a curated record. Lineage: Eukaryota; Viridiplantae; Streptophyta; Magnoliopsida; Arecales; Arecaceae.
AUCCUGUAUGUGUCCAUGCUUCCUUGGUUUUCUUCUUCGAGCAAAGUCACUUAUAUCUUUCUUUUACUUACAAUAGCAGGCUGUGCCUUUUUGAAGUAUGAAACUAAAGAUCAAGCUCUCGCGGCACUCGAGGCCUUAAAUGGGAAAUACAGAAUGGAGGGUUCAAGCGUGCCUUUGGUUGUUAAAUGGGCUGAUACAGAGAAGGAAAGGCAAGCUCGGAGGGCACAAAAAGCUCAAUCUCAGGCCUCAAAUCAUCCAAAUACCAAUUCAAUACAGCACCCUUCAUUAUAUGGAGCUUUACCAAUGGGAUACAUUCCUCCAUAUAAUGGAUUUGGCUAUCAGCCAACUGGAACUUAUGGAUUCAUGCAAUACCCUUUAGCGUCAAUGCAAAAUCAAGCUGCCUUCAAUAACAUGGUUCCUCCUGCUAAUCAAGGAAAUACGGUACGUGGAAUCAGUCCAGAUCUUUCCCCAGGCACGGUGCCCAGGAAUUUUGCCACAAUGCAAUCUGCCGGCUAUAUGGGGUCGGCAUAUCCUGCCAUGCCAGGUGUUCAAUACCCUCUACCCUAUCCAAGUGGUAUGAUGAGCCACAGGCCUUUUGGCAAUUCCCAUGCCCCAGUCCAACAGGUAAACAUGAAUAGUAAUCCAGCAUCAUCUUCAAGUGCCAGUACAAGUUCGGGGGGUCAGGUAGAAGGUCCUCCCGGAGCUAAUUUAUUUAUAUAUCAUAUCCCCCAAGAAUUUGGCGACCAGGAGCUUUCAAAUGCCUUUCAGGGAUUUGGAAGGGUUUUGAGUGCUAAAGUUUUUGUUGACAAGGAAACUGGUGUUAGUAAAUGCUUCGGUUUUGUAAGUUAUGACUCACCUGUAGCUGCUCAGGCUGCCAUCAAUGCAAUGAAUGGUUCUCAGUUAGGUGGUAAAAAGCUUAAAGUACAACUUAAGAGAGACAAUAAGCAGCGCAAACCUUACUGAUGCUGGAAGCUACCUGCGAGGAAACAAAAUUUCCUACAUUAUCUGGCUGCUUGCAGUUUCAGAGUUUUAUGACUGCAAAUCAGGAAUUCAGUACAAGAUGGAUGGAAGAAAAUUGGUCAUUUUACUCUUUGCUCCAUCCCAUCUUGUCUGAAGAAAUCUCUAAGAUGCCUUCUUUUUAGUGGUUAUUCAGCACAGGGUUCAGCUGUUUAGAGUCAAAGGUGCCUUCUAAUUUCCAAUGAUCUCACACAUCACUACAUAUGGAGGUCUUCCAGGUAAUCUGCACAAAUUUUUGGUGAUUGGUUUAUCAUGAUAAAUAUGUCUUUGUGCCUAAAGAUUUCAUGACUAUUUGGACAUUCUUCUGUCACUAAAGCAUUGUCAUCUGCAGCAUUCUGAGCCACAAUUUAGAAUGACCAAUGAAUAGUAAAUUGUACAUGUCAUGCAUGUGGAGACUAAUGCUCAAAGAUUAUGUUAUAAAAAAUCAUUAGGCUACAAAAGUUGAACGAUUGAAGAUUACAUUUAGAUAGUUUGUGAUUAUUCUAAAGUAAUAAUAAUGCCAAGAGCAAGUAUGUUAUAUAUAGCAAAGUUGAUAUAAUACGUAAAUAUAUACCAACAUAUGCAUAUUUUUAUACAUGGUAUCCCAUACCAUACCGAACCGGAUGGUAUGGAGCAUACCAUACCAUGCUGGUUUGGUGCUCGAUAUGCCGAACCAGCCCCAUACCGGGUGUACCGACAUAGUGAUAGGAUCGCACUAGUAUGGGGCCAGUACCGAGAUGGCAUACCUUGUUUUUAUAUAUAUGCAAUAAUGGUGUAUGUGAUUUACAUAUAAGUAAUUGAAAUGUUUGGAUUGGUUGGAAUCUUUGGUCCCAUUAAAGUUCAGGUUAUGCUAACUGGCUUAUUGCUCACAAAUUGCUCGUACUGAAAGUGAUCAUGUUCUGAAACUCUGGUCCAAUCAGAUCUUGGUCUGUGUUUUAGUUGUUAUUCAGUUUCAUCAGAAAAUAUAUGUAUAUUUUCUUUUAUAAAAAAAAACUUCAGAGAUUAGUUUAUAAAUUAAGUAUUCAGAAGGCACUUAAAGUUACAAAGUAAUAUAUAUUAAAGAAUCGCCUAUAGGGGUGUCAGUGCCCCAGUUGGCAUGGUUUAGGCUGAGAUUUGCUGAAGACCAGAUUGAGUUCUUACCAAGCGGGUUGAAAGUUGAAACAGCUUGGAUUGGGACCAGACUGAAACUGAUCCAAACUUACCCUGUUAAGCCCUAGUUAAAUUUCCUUAAAAUCCCAAGCUGUAGACUAGGGUAAAAUCAUUGAUCAGCAACCUUUGAAGUCCAAGCCCGUCCCUAGGGACAGAUUUUGGAGCCCAACCUAGGUUUUUUCAGCUAUAGCUUCAGUGGGUCACUCCAAGAAGGAUUUCUCUUUUGCACCAAUUUUUUUGGCAGCUUUGUCGAAAGAUCAAUGUUUUUGGUAAUUCUCAAUGGCUAUUAUUGGGAAAGUUAAUUGGUCUCUAUUCAUAACUUACAAUUUUAUUCUAAGUAAAUAUGGGGAUUGUGACUUCAUUGGCAAAUUUUGAUGCAACACUAGAUGACUUAGUUUGAACUUUGAACCUUCCCCUUUAUAUUUGGUGAAUAACACCUUAAAAUCAAAUUUUCUACACUUCUCCCCCGCCUCCCCCCAACCCCCUGUGCCAUAAAAAAGAGAGAAAAAUAUUCAUUGAGCCUAUGAACACUUGAAAGACGUUCGGCCUUUGAGAUUUUAUUGCGAUCAUCAAGCUAUGGGUCACCUCCACACUAGAAGUCUGAACUCAGACAUUUUAAAGCUGAACUAAUAUUGUUUCUUCUAUUAAAUUGAUGUCCAAUUGUUAUGUCAAAGGACACUUGAUAUGUUUGCCUUGAUCCAUUCAUCUUCUAAUUUUGCUUAUAUCAAGUUUUGGUGCUUCUUUUAUGUAUUAUUAUUUUUGCCAAGACCUUAUCCACGUUUGAAUUAGAUUUUUUUGGGGUACUAUUCACUUUCUUUUACCUUAUUCUAGGUUUUUGAGUAUACAUUAGAAAAUCUUUUUCUUGGUUAUUUCCUGUUGUAUUUUUGAGAUUUUGUUUGCUAGUGUGAAUUUCCUUAAAUUUGGUCCUUGAAGGUUGUUUCUGGGACAUUUUUUAACAUUGUUCUUCUGCUUCACCUUUUUUGAGUAUUUUGGGAUCUGGAGUUUAUCUUUUGCUCUUUCAUGGGGCACUUAAUAUACAUGUUCACUCUUUUGUUCUAUCUACUCUUUUACAGUCCAUUUUAGCCAAAUGUUCGUUGGUUACUCCUUAUCCCCCUUUUGUGCGUUAAUUUGAUCUCAUAGUGGCUGACCGCCAUGAUGUGGCUUCAUAGAUGAUGCAAGCAGUUGGCUUUAGUGGUUUGUUAACUUUUAGUCUUACUCCCGUACUUGGAGGAUGAUAGGAGGACCAUCUUGAUGUUUUAAUCUGAAACACAUUUUUAUGAUAUUGGAUGCGGCUUAGGAAAUAUGGAUGGGGAUAAUGGAGAUGUUAAGGAUGCAGUGAAAAUUGUUAUUAAUGCGAUCUUGUUAUUGGAAAUUUAAAAUUGUUCAUUAUGUUCUUUGCAAUUCAAAUUAGGAAUAUAUAGUUUCAAAGCAUAGUGCCAAUUGGGGUAGAGAUAAAAUGAUGUGUAUAGAAUGAUGAUUGGGGUCAUGUUGAAUAUUGUGGAUAUAGAUCCAGGACAGCUAUCAUUCCAACAUAUGGUGAGGUGGCAAUCUUCCACGUGGUAAUUACACAACAGAAUGUAACCAGAUAAGUUUUACUUUUCCACAUGACAAUCUUCCAAGAAUCACCUUUCCUAAAAUCUCUCAGUACUUUUAGAAUCUUUCUUUGGAUAUUCCAUUGUUUCUACAGGAGGUUGUGAACUUCAUUUCUGGUAGCUUGAGAUAACUGGCCUUCCCCCUUGCAACCAGCUGGGUGAUCCAACCUUCUGUAGAAUCCCAAAUCCAUUUUUUAAACCCUAUCUAUACAUAUUUUACAAGAUCAUCAAAUUUUUGUCCUUUGAGAUUUGUUGAUUCACUUUAUCUGACUUUGGUCAUAAUUUUCUUAUGUGUUUUUUUUCCAUUAGUUUAUUCUCUUUCACUAUCAUAUCAUUAUUUAUGUUUGAUGAAAUUUGGGUCCUUAGGAUUCAAUUAGAUUUUUGGGUCUUCAUUUCUGCCUUCUUCGUGAGAAUCCUUUAAUUAUUGACUUCUGUUGUUCAUUAUUUUGGGAACUUUGGUCUAUUUCUUGCUCUUGCUUAAUCCUUUUAUGGCUUCGUUGCUCUCCGUUAUUUUUUGUCUAAAGAGCAAAUAUUUUACCUAUUGGUUUUCUGCUAUUUAAUAUCAUUUUCUUUCUGUUUAUAUGCUUGGUUUAUCAACUCCUUAAUUCAUCGAUUUAGUGCUUGGCUUAACCUUAUCACCGACAAUCCUCAGUGUAAUGCUUGCUCAUGACUGCCUGCUGACCGUGGACAUCUAGUUUAUUUGUGGACGUAAUCUGGUCAUAUGGUACUUAGUCCAUGUUUGGAAGCUCAUGGAAUCAAAGCACAAUAUACCAUAAUACAUUCAGAGGGUUACAUGGAAAUGUGGUUGCGUUUAAAAUUAAUUGGUCAUGGUGCCUUAAGUGAUGGGUGUUCAUCCUUUAUCCACUACACAAAAGAAAUAUUUGCAGACUUUCGAUGAAACUGACAUGAGGAAUUUUUAAAAUGCAGAUCUUAUUGGUAUACCAACAUAAUUUGAAGAAACUAUGUAAGCAUCUUCAUGGUUUGCUGUGCCGUCUAAUUUAGGUUAUUAAUUCAUCAAUGGCCAAUUAAGUGGGUGCAUACAGGUAUUGCAUGUGGAGGGGUUGUGCACGGGUUAAUUAUGAGGGUGCAUGCAUUUAAAAGGGGACAUAUAGAGGAACAUUCAGGAUGGGAGAACAAAUAAGAGGAAUUCUAGAAGGUGUUGAAGAUAAGAUGAAACCAUGUACAGAUAGUAUGAGGUGCAACACAUGUCAGGAGAGAAAAUUUGUUUAUUUUUUUUUUUAAACUUAAAAGCAACAUGUCUUUCAAGACUUGAGAAAAGCUAAAUGAGCCAGCAAAACCGAUAACCGGAAAACCUAAAUGAAGCCCAAUUGCUCUUUCAAAGAAGUAAUGAGUAUUGCAAUUUUCUUGGUUUGCUCAUGGACUCAGGCCUCUUGAGGACCAAUAAAGGACUAAAAGACUUCAAUAGAGUAGGUAAAGCUUGGCUUGUUGCCGGGAGGUCUUAGGAAGUUGCAUGAUUGAUGACCGGAUAAAACAGUUUAGGCAGUACAAUGAUUUUAAAGCUAGCAAUCUCCUUCCCAUAUACUCCAUUUAAGAAAUAAUUUUAAAAUUAGCAGCAUGCUGCAUCUAAAGAAUGGAUGUGGAUGAAGGCUCACACUUUUAGGUUAGGUAUUAAUUGAUGAUUGAACUUAGACUGCUUGACUGGCCAGACUGAAUUCUUAAUUGUAAAAGAUUCUUCAUGUCCAAGAUCUUGAAAACUAUAGACUCAAGUUCUCAAAUUUAAAGUUUUUAUCAGUUCCUUUUGAUUUGGCAAAGGUGAAAUCUGGAUUACGCCUGUCCUUUGGCAUUUUAAAGUCCUAAGACAUCUGUGCAUAUGAAACUCCGUAGAGAGCUAGCCAUAUGCUUUGAAGAAUGCCACAUCUUUGCAGAUUCCUAUGUAAAAUAUGUUUGAGUAUAGUUUCUUUACAUUAUUUCAUGCUAUGUGAAGUGGUGCACUUGAAAUAGAUGGACUAUAAAACACACAUAGACGUUAUAUCCAUUUUCCAAUUUAAACUUUGUGGUAUUUAGCACACAUCUCAUCAUUUUAAUCAUUUCCCUGGUCAUGCAUUCAACAUCUACCAGGCAUUGGAAGUGGCUGGAAGUUACGGGAUUGUAGGAGCCAAUCUUUAAUCACUUGGUUUUGCUAGAACUAGUUUAUGUUGCAAUGUUCUCUUGUAGUUAAGCAUCAUCUCUUGAGGCCGGUCGGAUGGCACACUGAGGAACCUGACUUUCCCCAAGAUACUGGUAAAUUCUGAAUAUGAUGAGUUUCACCAUGUUCUGCCCAGCAUUUUGCUCACAGAGGCGUCUAAAACCAAUCACCAAGGGAUUUUACUGGGUGCAAGAUUAUAGCAAAAAACUUACCAUCGGAUAAAGAGUAUGUUGUACCUUAUUGAUGGCUAGACAUCUUAUAUUCGUCAGGAAAUCUCAGGUAAGAAAAUGAAGGAUACGUUGAAGCAUAUGCCUGGAACGAAGAUUUCUUGUGAACAUUUUGGAAAACCUGAUGGCCAUUUUCUUUUCUUGUGUGCUUUUUUUUUUUGGCUUUUAAUUCCAAUGCAACCUAUGGUCAAGGGUGAUCUAAUGUAACAUUACGCAAUUGGGGCUAAGUUUCGAAGUUAUAACAGAACUUUGGAUACUUGUGUCCUCCGGAUUUUGUCCGGUGUUGCUCAUUUUUUCUUGGACGCAUUUCCUGCUCUAAGAAUGUUUGAAAGAAUUGUUUCAAUUUUGAAGGUUGGUUAAUAUCAAAGGAUAUUGGUAGGUUUUUUGAAGACUGUUGAUGAAGGCUAUGAGCUUUUCAUUUGUGAACUCAUGGUCCGAUUUAUAAACAAGUUAACCUUAAAAGCACGAUAGUUUGUUUAUGAAUGGUUUGAAUUGCCUUCCCUGCAAGCUCCGGGUCAAGCAAUGCUCUCCCAUGGGUAAACUCCAUGGACCUGAAAGGGCAUCCUGAGACGUGGGAGUUUUCUUGCAUAAAGUUUAAUGGUGGUGCUGUGGCAAAACAUAUUUUCCAGGACAAAGGCAGACAGCAGUCUGUAAUCGGAGUCUUCACACAACCUACUGCUCCUUUGUUGGAUAUGAUUAUUCAUAUCUUUCGGUAUGCGAGCGUGGAUCAAAAAAUAAUUAUAUCUACUACGGCAACAAUAUGCAUCAGAAAUCCAAUAGGAUGAUAGUUUGAAAAUCAUAAACAUCAUGAUUAAUUUGGAUCAUCUAUUCAUAAUUCAAAUUUGAGGUGCAUUAGAACAAGAUUGAAGUAUAUUUUUGUUCAUAAACUGCAUUUUUAUUUAACUCAAAAAUCCUGAAGCACCUUACUAGGACUAGAAUUCAUGGCAUGAUAAAUUAUGUUAGUGGUGCCCUAUUCUUCAUGGCACAUCACAUGUAAUGCACCAAUACCAGUAAUUGCAAAGUUUGUACGUUAGCUCUCACAUCACUAACUACCAAUACUUCUUGAAUAUUUUCAUGAGGAAAUUGGCAUCCACCAGUCUUAAAAAGUAGGAGGGAGGAUCUCAUGACCUUAAAGGGAAAGAAUCGCAAAAUACCUCCGCCAAAGAACGAUUAAAGGGGAACUAUGAGUUGCAGAACUUUAAAUAUGAACCAAGGAUUAAAUUGAACACAAGAUAUUUUCGAAAACAUGACCGAUAAUGUAAAUUAAAUCUCAUGUUUAGCAUAUUAGUGAUCUACUCAUUUUGCCAAUGAUAUAAGCUCGAUAUAGAGAAAGGGGAAAAAAUACAGUAGUUGAGCUUUUAUCUUUGUCCUUUAAACAAUAAUCAGAGGAAAAUGCUAUAAAGACAGAAAACGAAAAAAACUAGAAUAAUUUCAUUGAGAGGAAGAGCUUUGAACAUGGAGUAAUGACAGUUAACUAUGUAGUCAUCUCAUAACAGUAAUACAGAUGACUAAACCCCACAUUUUGCACAUCAAUUAUUCUCCCUCUUUUCCUCUUCUUGCUGCUGCUGCUGCUGCUUCUUUUCUUAAGUUUUUGGUGCUAGAUCUAACUUCUAAGCACAAUCUUUGGUACCAGAUCUGAACACACAAGCAGAACAACAACAAGAACAAGAAGAAGAUUCUAAAUGCCAAAGAGAGAUGAGUACAUGAUAAUUAGGAAA